This 217-nucleotide ribosomal RNA is filed under the name uncultured Actinomycetales bacterium. RNAcentral's name for it is "partial 16S ribosomal RNA". It matches the Rfam family "Bacterial small subunit ribosomal RNA", at positions 117 to 334 of the family's 1533-position model. The record is from RNAcentral. Lineage: Bacteria; Bacillati; Actinomycetota; Actinomycetes; Actinomycetales.
GUGAGUAACUUGCCCUUGACUUUGGGAUAACUUCAGGAAACUGGGGCUAAUACCGGAUAGGAGCUCCUGCUGCAUGGUGGGGGUUGGAAAGUUUCGGCGGUUGGGGAUGGACUCGCGGCUUAUCAGCUUGUUGGUGGGGUAGUGGCUUACCAAGGCUUUGACGGGUAGCCGGCCUGAGAGGGUGACCGGCCACAUUGGGACUGAGAUAACGGCCCAG